RNAcentral lists this ribosomal RNA (475 nucleotides) under uncultured bacterium. Its description in RNAcentral is "bacterial SSU rRNA". It matches the Rfam family "Bacterial small subunit ribosomal RNA", at positions 335 to 797 of the family's 1533-position model. The record is from RNAcentral.
ACUCCUACGGGAGGCAGCAGUAGGGAAUCUUCCACAAUGGGCGCAAGCCUGAUGGAGCAACACCGCGUGAGUGAAGAAGGGUUUCGGCUCGUAAAGCUCUGUUGUUAAAGAAGAACACGUAUGAGAGUAACUGUUCAUACGUUGACGGUAUUUAACCAGAAAGUCACGGCUAACUACGUGCCAGCAGCCGCGGUAAUACGUAGGUGGCAAGCGUUAUCCGGAUUUAUUGGGCGUAAAGAGAGUGCAGGCGGUUUUCUAAGUCUGAUGUGAAAGCCUUCGGCUUAACCGGAGAAGUGCAUCGGAAACUGGAUAACUUGAGUGCAGAAGAGGGUAGUGGAACUCCAUGUGUAGCGGUGGAAUGCGUAGAUAUAUGGAAGAACACCAGUGGCGAAGGCGGCUACCUGGUCUGCAACUGACGCUGAGACUCGAAAGCAUGGGGUAGCGAACAGGAUUAGAUACCCUGGUAGGAAAGCCC